ACAGGAAGCCAUGAACUUGCAAUUCCACCAUUUCUUCCAGUUGCUUUUGGAGAAUUCAGUUUCAAAGUGCGAGUUGAGGAUAACAUUCUGGCUUUCAGAAAUCAUAAAUAAUGAACGGCACAUUUGAGUCAUUAUCGGUGGUUAUCCCUCUUAGAGUCCUCUUUGGUGUGCUCCGACCUAAGGCACCCGUGGAGAAGGAGAAGGAGAUCUCAAGAGGAAAAAUCAAUGCAGGAACAAAGAAACUCUUGGGUCUAGUGAAGAGAGACUGGAUCUUGCUAGGCGAGUCAGGGAUGGGGAGCUGGAACUGGGAAAUGUUAAUUUGCAAGGGUCCCCUGUGUAGCAAGAGGAAACUGCACAUCCCUCUAGCCUGAACUCUGUCUUCAGAUCCCAGCUUCCUACACUCUCACCUGGAGAACUCCCCAAGUUCUUUCUUCUCCUUCAACAUUCCCAACAUCUGGGCUUCCUCUGGGUCCUGGUUUCAGAUGAUUUUCACAUGUCCAUUUCUUGCUUCUACCCUGGGUGAGUUAAAUUUGGAUGACAAUACCCAGAUCUUACAGUUUGAAGGAGAAUUAAAUGGAAUAAUAUGUGCAGAAGUGUUUCGUCAACAGCAAAGUGCAUUUAAAGGCAGAAUGUGCAUGUGAGACAGCCAAGUGUAAAGGGGUCCCCAGAGAAACUCCAACCGACCUGCACACUGGAAGGAGUGUGCACUGGGGUGGAGCCUCGGGAAGUUCCUGCCCUUUGCCGUAGGGAAGGAGCCUGGCCUCUCCUGUUCAGAGAUGGAAGCAGGAACUCAAUCUGUGAGGUGGGAAGCCUGUACUUGCAGGACUCUCACUCUGCUGAGUCCCUGUUUCCAGUUUUUCCCAUUUUUGCCCAAUAAAUUCUUUUUUUCUCACCCUUCA
This 899-nucleotide long non-coding RNA is filed under the name Homo sapiens (human). RNAcentral's name for it is "novel transcript". The record is from RNAcentral. Lineage: Eukaryota; Metazoa; Chordata; Mammalia; Primates; Hominidae.